Lagopus leucura (white-tailed ptarmigan) is the source of this 1741-nucleotide long non-coding RNA. RefSeq lists it as uncharacterized. The record is from RefSeq and is a predicted model, not a curated record. NCBI's taxonomy places the organism in Eukaryota, Metazoa, Chordata, Aves, Galliformes, Phasianidae. The transcript has 5 exons.
UGGUCUGCAGGGCGCAUGCGCAGGAGGUUUGAGCGUUCGCUGGUGUGAGGCAGGCGAGGGGCGGUGGGAUCUUUGGGCUUUCUGUGUGGAAGGAAUGAGUGGGCUGGUGUCCGGGAGCUUCCAGUCCCAAACUUGAGGUAGCUUGGGGUCCGUGUGGGCGCUGGCUGUAGGACCCCAGUGUAAGUGGUGACUGUGGGGCCUGUGAGCUUCCUGAAGAAGCUAGCAAGUGGCAGAGAUCCAGGCAAACGUGGAAAUACUUUCUUAAGUUUGGCCGUAGAAACAGAGGAGUCAAUGAUGUUAUGGAUACAUCACAGCGUGGAUACAGCAUGUAGCCUGAGUCAGGAGAGCAGCAUAUUUUCUAAGAUGUAAAGUCACUCACUCUAAAUGGUGUAGAAAGUGCUUUGUGCUUGUAAUGUUUUCAGGCUUAAAUUGUCUAGAAAUGAGUAUUUUCCAACAAUCAGAAAUUAAACUCAGUAUAUCUGCUGGCUUUGUAACUUAUCUGCUUGUUCUUUGAUUGGCUUGUGACUCCCUUCUUCAUAUUUUCUGCUAAUCUUUUAUUACUAUGUUAACAUGCAUUAUAUCCAAGCAUUGAACAAGCUUGCCAGAAGUACUUACUUUAGUGUUCAUUUGUUUUGUUUACCUGAUUGUGGGCUUUUUAGAUUCAUUCAUUAUAACUUUGACGUGGAGACAGAAAGGACUUGUGGUGGUGGUGGAGAUGAUGUUGUACAGUUAGUUGCUAUGACAAAUGUAGUUUUUCUUUACUAAGACUUUGGUCCUGGAUAUGUUUCUGAUGCGUGUGGCCUACGCUGCUGUCAGAUACUUGGGGUAUGUAAAGACAUCUACCACAGCUGUACUGCACACUGAAGUGUGAAGCUGGUAUCUUUUAUCAGGUCAUGCUGAAUCUGUAGUAAACGGCUAAAGCAGGUCUUGGAGAACAGAAGAGGUGCCUGAAGACUGGAACAUAGCCAGUGUCACUCCAGUGUUCAAAAAGGGCAAGAAGCAGGAUCUGGGAAACUACCAGGCCAGUCAGCCUCACUUCUGACUCUGAAAAGGUGAUGGAAAAGCUUUUUCUGGAUGCCAUCUCCAAGCAAUUGGUAGAAAAGAAGGCUAUCAGGAGUAGUCAGCAUGGAUUCACCGAGGGAAACUCAUGCUUGACAAGAGUCAUAGCCUUCUGUGAUGGCAUUACCGGCUGGAUGCUUUGUUAAGUAAAGUCUGAAAUGUUUCAAGGGAUGCCAUUUCCAGCACCUUCUUCUGAAGACUCCUGAUAAUCAAAUAGGAACAUCAGAUAUAUGUGGGUUUGAACUCAAAGCAAAGAUAGAGUCCAAACCUUAGCAUGACAGAAAGCGGGCUUUGUAUCAUAUUUGAAAACUCUUCACCAGUCUUCAUACUCUCUUGGAACGUAAAUUAGAUGCGAACUUACCUGGUGAAAUGUCAUGGAGACGAGAGAGAAGAGAUGCAGAAAAGCAGAGAGUUUCCAUCCUCCUGCCGACCCAGUGGAACACAAUGCUGUAACAGCAAGCGUCUGACUAAUUUCACAAAAUCGUAUAUCAAACUGGGAGGGACCCACAGGGAUCAUGGAGUCCAGCUCCUGGCUGGACCACACAAAAAUCAAACCCUAGGUCUGAGAGCGUUGCACAAAUGCUUCUUCGGCUCCGACAGGCUCGGACCACAGCCCCGUGCAGCCCGUUCCGUGCCCACCGCCCCCUGGUGCAGCCCCUGUCCCUGACCCCCCUCCCCUGAC